UAUCAAUUUGACGAAUUAAAUUACCGUCACUAAAUAGACCAUAUGAGCAUGCCCAAGCCAAAUGAAUCAACAAUUAGACUAGCAAUAAGCAAGUGCAUGUCAUAAAAAUAAUCCCAAGUAAAGCACAAGUGAUGCAACUCAUAACGCAAAUUCCUAAAAGGAAAACUACUCCUUGAAAAUUAGUGCUCUUCUAAAUAACUCACUCCCCUUAAGCUAUACCCCGAUGACUUUCAAGCUAGAAUGCAAGAGAGGAACAUACAAACAUAACUCUUUAGAAUGGAACUUGUCCUCAGAGACAUAGCCACCUAAUCCAAACUGACCCGAUAUGUCUUCUUCCAAUAAGUGGACAGAAGCUGCAGUAAUACUAUAGGCGCAUAAUUCAAAGCAUACAACCUCUAGGGUUUUGAGGAAAGGACCAAAACCAUAGAUAACUUAAAUGAAUGGUGGAGAUAGAGUAGAAUUGUAACUUGACAUGAGAGAACCACAAAAGAAUAGAGUUAGGAAAUGAACU
RNAcentral lists this long non-coding RNA (511 nucleotides) under Malus domestica (apple). Its description in RNAcentral is "long non-coding RNA (MDOM_LNC011326)". Lineage: Eukaryota; Viridiplantae; Streptophyta; Magnoliopsida; Rosales; Rosaceae. The record is from RNAcentral.